AUGGUGGUAACGGGUAACGGGGUGUUAGGGCACGACACCGGAGAGGGAGCCUGAGAAACGGCUACCACAUCCAAGGAUGGCAGCAGGCGCGCAAAUUACCCAAUCCCGACACGGGGAGGUAGUGACAAUAAAUAACAAUACGGGGUCCUUUAGGGUUUCGUAAUUGGAAUGAGUACAAUUUAAAUCUCUUAACGAGGAACAAUUGGAGGGCAAGUCUGGUGCCAGCAGCCGCGGUAAUUCCAGCUCCAAUAGCGUAUAUUAAAGUUGUUGCAGUUAAAAAGCUCGUAGUUGAAUUUCGGGAUCAGUACGCCGGUCGUGCCUUCGGUAUGCACUGGUGUCACUGGUUUCUCCCUUCUGAAGAACCAUCAUGCCAUUCAGUUGGUGUGGCGGGGAAUCAGGACUGUUACUUUGAAAAAAUUAGAGUGUUUAAAGCAGGCUCGCGCUUGAAUACAUUAGCAUGGAAUAAUGAAGUAGGACGUUUGACCCUAUUUUGUUGGUUUCUAGGAUCGACGUAAUGAUUAAUAGGGAUAGUUGGGGGCAUUAGUAUUCAAUUGUCAGAGGUGAAAUUCUUGGAUUUAUUGAAGACUAACUACUGCGAAAGCAUUUGCCAAGGAUGUUUUCAUUAAUCAAGAACGAAAGUUAGGGGAUCGAAGACGAUCAGAUACCGUCGUAGUCUUAACCAUAAACUAUGCCGA
Molecule: ribosomal RNA, 695 nt
Filed under: uncultured Glomeromycotina
Lineage: Eukaryota; Fungi; Glomeromycota
Description: SSU rRNA
Rfam family: Eukaryotic small subunit ribosomal RNA
Source: RNAcentral